RNAcentral lists this transfer RNA (59 nucleotides) under Candidatus Aminicenantota bacterium. Its description in RNAcentral is "Candidatus Aminicenantes bacterium tRNA-Gln". It matches the Rfam family "tRNA", at positions 7 to 64 of the family's 71-position model. Rfam says of the family: Transfer RNA (tRNA) molecules are approximately 80 nucleotides in length. Their secondary structure includes four short double-helical elements and three loops (D, anti-codon, and T loops). Further hydrogen bonds mediate the characteristic L-shaped molecular structure. tRNAs have two regions of fundamental functional importance: the anti-codon, which is responsible for specific mRNA codon recognition, and the 3' end, to which the tRNAs corresponding amino acid is attached (by aminoacyl-tRNA synthetases). tRNAs cope with the degeneracy of the genetic code in two manners: having more than one tRNA (with a specific anti-codon) for a particular amino acid; and 'wobble' base-pairing, i.e. permitting non-standard base-pairing at the 3rd anti-codon position. Lineage: Bacteria; Candidatus Aminicenantota. The record is from RNAcentral.
GUAGCCAAGCGGUAAGGCAGCGGACUUUGGAUCCGCCAUUCGGAGGUUCGAAUCCUCCC